This 525-nucleotide ribosomal RNA is filed under the name uncultured bacterium. RNAcentral describes it as "bacterial SSU rRNA". It matches the Rfam family "Bacterial small subunit ribosomal RNA", at positions 355 to 896 of the family's 1533-position model. The record is from RNAcentral.
UGGGGAAUAUUGGACAAUGGGGGAAACCCUGAUCCAGCGACGCCGCGUGAGUGAAGAAGUAUUUCGGUAUGUAAAGCUCUAUCAGCAGGGAAGAAAAUGACGGUACCUGACUAAGAAGCCCCGGCUAACUACGUGCCAACAGCCGCGGUAAUACGUAGGGGGCAAGCGUUAUCCGGAUUUACUGGGUGUAAAGGGAGCGCAGACGGCGAAGCAAGUCUGAAGUGAAAUGCAUGGGCUCAACCCAUGAAUUGCUUUGGAAACUGUUUGGCUUGAGUGUCGGAGGGGUAAGCGGAAUUCCUAGUGUAGCGGUGAAAUGCGUAGAUAUUAGGAGGAACACCGGAGGCGAAGGCGGCUUACUGGACGACAACUGACGUUGAGGCUCGAAGGCGUGGGGAGCAAACAGGAUUAGAUACCCUGGUAGUCCACGCAGUAAACGAUGAAUACUUGGUGUCGGGGAGGUAAACUCUUCGGUGCCGCAAGCAAACGCAUUAAGUAUUCCACCUGGGGAGUACGUUCGCAAGAAUG